This 751-nucleotide ribosomal RNA is filed under the name uncultured Glomus. Its description in RNAcentral is "SSU rRNA". It matches the Rfam family "Eukaryotic small subunit ribosomal RNA", at positions 338 to 1092 of the family's 1831-position model. RNAcentral also lists the same sequence under 1 other name. Lineage: Eukaryota; Fungi; Glomeromycota; Glomeromycetes; Glomerales; Glomeraceae. The record is from RNAcentral.
GGCCUACCAUGGUGGUAACGGGUAACGGGGUGUUAGGGCACGACACCGGAGAGGGAGCCUGAGAAACGGCUACCACAUCCAAGGAUGGCAGCAGGCGCGCAAAUUACCCAAUCCCGACACGGGGAGGUAGUGACAAUAAAUAACAAUACGGGGUUCUUCGAAUCUCGUAAUUGGAAUGAGUACAAUUUAAAUCUCUUAACGAGGAACAAUUGGAGGGCAAGUCUGGUGCCAGCAGCCGCGGUAAUUCCAGCUCCAAUAGCGUAUAUUAAAGUUGUUGCAGUUAAAAAGCUCGUAGUUGAAUUUCGGGGUCAGCAGGUUGGUCUUGCCACUGGUAUGUACUAGCCUGCCGAUUCCUCCUUCUUGUAGAACCGUAAUGCCAUUAAUUUGGUGUUGCGGGGAAACAGGACUGUUACUUUGAAAAAAUUAGAGUGUUUAAAGCAGGCUAGCGCCUGAAUACAUUAGCAUGGAAUAAUGAAAUAGGACGUUCGAACCUAUUUUGUUGGUUUCUAGGAUUGACGUAAUGAUUAAUAGGGAUAGUUGGGGGCAUUAGUAUUCAAUUGUCAGAGGUGAAAUUCUUGGAUUUAUUGAAGACUGACUACUGCGAAAGCAUUUGCCAAGGAUGUUUUCAUUAAUCAAGAACGAAAGUUAGGGGAUCGAAGACGAUCAGAUACCGUCGUAGUCUUAACCAUAAACUAUGCCGACUAGGGAUCGGAUGAUGUUAAUUUUUUAAUGACUCAUUCGGCGCCUUACG